UGGGGAAUAUUGCACAAUGGGCGCAAGCCUGAUGCAGCCAUGCCGCGUGUGUGAAGAAGGCCUUCGGGUUGUAAAGCACUUUCAGCGAGGAGGAAGGUGGUGAACUUAAUACGUUCAUCAAUUGACGUUACUCGCAGAAGAAGCACCGGCUAACUCCGUGCCAGCAGCCGCGGUAAUACGGGAGGGUGCAAGCGUUAAUCGGAAUUACUGGGCGUAAAGCGCACGCAGGCGGUUUGUUAAGUCAGAUGUGAAAUCCCCGGGCUCAACCUGGGAACUGCAUUUGAAACUGGCAAGCUAGAGUCUCGUAGAGGGGGGUAGAAUUCCAGGUGUAGCGGUGAAAUGCGUAGAGAUCUGGAGGAAUACCGGUGGCGAAGGCGGCCCCCUGGACGAAGACUGACGCUCAGGUGCGAAAGCGUGGGGAGCAAACAGGAUUAGAUACCCUGGUAGUCCACGCUGUAAAACGAUGUCGAUUUUGGAGGUUGUGCCCUUGAGGCGUGGCUUCCGGAGCUAACGCGUUAAAUCGACCGCCUGGGGAGUACGGCCGCAAGGUUAAAACUCAAAUGAAUUGACGGGGUCAUAGCUGUUUCCU
This 589-nucleotide ribosomal RNA is filed under the name uncultured bacterium. RNAcentral's name for it is "partial 16S ribosomal RNA". It matches the Rfam family "Bacterial small subunit ribosomal RNA", at positions 355 to 1375 of the family's 1533-position model. The record is from RNAcentral.